CCAGUGGCGAAGGCGGCUUUCUAUCACACUACGGACGCUCAUGCACGAAAGCUAGGGGAGCAAACGGGAUUAGAUACCCCGGUAGUCCUAGCCGUAAACGAUGUAUACUUGGUGUUAGGAGCAUCGACCCUUCUAGCGCCGAAGCUAACGCGUUAAGUAUACCGCUUGGGGAGUACGGCCGCAAGGCUAAAACUCAAAGAAAUUGACGGGGGCCCGCACAAGCGGUGGAGCAUGUGGUUUAAUACGACGCAACGCGUAGAACCUUACCAGGGCUUGACAUGUAUGUGACAGUCUAUGAAAGUAGAUCUUCCUUCGGGACAGAUACACAGGUGUUGCAUGGCUGUCGUCAGCUCGUGUCGUGAGAUGUUGGGUUAAGUCCCGCAACGAGCGCAACCCAUGUCCUUAGUUGCCAGCACGUAAUGGUGGGAACUCUAGGGAGACUGCCUCGGUCAACGGGGAGGAAGGUGUGGAUGACGUCAAGUCAGUACGGCCCUUACGCCCUGGGGCUACACACGUGCUACAAUGGUCGGUACAAAGAGUCGCAAGACCGCAAGGUGGAGCUAAUCUCAAAAAGCCGAUCUCAGUUCGGAUUGGAGUCUGCAAUUCGACUCCAUGAAGCUGGAAUCGCUAGUAAUGGCGCAUCACCUACGCCGCACGUGAUACGUUCCCGGGCAUUGACACACCGCCCGUCACAUCACCCGAGCUGGGUGCACCCGAAGUCGC
Molecule: ribosomal RNA, 723 nt
Filed under: uncultured organism
Description: bacterial SSU rRNA
Rfam family: Bacterial small subunit ribosomal RNA
Source: RNAcentral